GACCUCCGAUCAAGCAGAAGCACUCACUGAAUUUAUA
Molecule: ribosomal RNA, 37 nt
Filed under: Nereocystis luetkeana
Lineage: Eukaryota; Phaeophyceae; Laminariales; Laminariaceae
Description: partial 26S ribosomal RNA
Source: RNAcentral